UUAAGUUAAUAAGGGCGCACGGUGGAUGCCUUGGCACUAGAAGCCGAUGAAGGACGUGACUAACGACGAAAUGCUUUGGGGAGCUGUAAGUGAGCAAUGAUCCAGAGAUGUCCGAAUGGGGGAACCCGGCAGGUAAUGCCUGUCACUCAUUACUGUUAAGGUAAUGUAGAGGAAGACGCAGUGAACUGAAACAUCUAAGUAGCUGUAGGAAGAGAAAGCAAAAGCGAUUGCCUUAGUAGCGGCGAGCGAAACGGCAAGAGGGCAAACCGAAGAGUUUACUCUUCGGGGUUGUAGGACUGCAACGUGGACUUAAAGACUAUAGAAGAACUACCUGGGAAGGUAGGCCAAAGAGAGUAAUAGCCUCGUAUUCGAAAUAGUCUUUAUACCUAGCAGUAUCCUGAGUACGGCGAGACACGAGAAAUCUCGUCGGAAUCUGGGAGGACCAUCUCCCAACCCUAAAUACUCUCUAGUGACCGAUAGUGAACCAGUACCGUGAGGGAAAGGUGAAAAGCACCCCGGGAGGGGAGUGAAAUAGAACCUGAAACCGUGUGCCUACAACAAGUUCGAGCCCGUUAAUGGGUGAGAGCGUGCCUUUUGUAGAAUGAACCGGCGAGUUACGAUAUGAUGCGAGGUUAAGUUGAAGAGACGGAGCCGUAGGGAAACCGAGUCUUAAUAGGGCGCAUUAGUAUCAUGUCGUAGACCCGAAACCAUGUGACCUACCCAUGAGCAGGUUGAAGGUGAGGUAAAACUCACUGGAGGACCGAACCAGGGCACGUUGAAAAGUGCUUGGAUGACUUGUGGGUAGCGGAGAAAUUCCAAACGAACUUGGAGAUAGCUGGUUCUCUCCGAAAUAGCUUUAGGGCUAGCGUCGAUGUUAAGUCUCUUGGAGGUAGAGCACUGUUUGGGUGAGGGGUCCAUCCCGGAUUACCAAUCUCAGAUAAACUCCGAAUGCCAAUGAGAUAUAAUCGGCAGUCAGACUGCGAGUGCUAAGAUCCGUAGUCGAAAGGGAAACAGCCCAGACCACCAGCUAAGGUCCCAAAAUAUAUGUUAAGUGGAAAAGGAUGUGGGGUUGCACAGACAACUAGGAUGUUAGCUUAGAAGCAGCUAUUCAUUCAAAGAGUGCGUAAUAGCUCACUAGUCGAGUGACCCUGCGCCGAAAAUGUACCGGGGCUAAAACAUAUUACCGAAGCUGUGGAUACCUUUAUAGGUAUGGUAGGAGAGCGUUCUAUGUGCGAAGAAGGUGUACCGUGAGGAGUGCUGGAGCGCAUAGAAGUGAGAAUGCCGGUAUGAGUAGCGAAAGACAGGUGAGAAUCCUGUCCACCGUAAGACUAAGGUUUCCAGGGGAAGGCUCGUCCGCCCUGGGUUAGUCGGGACCUAAGGAGAGACCGAAAGGUGUAUCCGAUGGACAACAGGUUGAUAUUCCUGUACUAGAGUAUAUAGUGAUGGAGGGACGCAGUAGGCUAACUAAACCAGACGAUUGGAAGUGUCUGGCCAAGCAGUGAGGUGUGAUAUGAGUCAAAUGCUUAUAUCUUUAACAUUGAGCUGUGAUGGGGAGCGAAGUUUAGUAGCGAAGUUAGUGAUGUCACACUGCCGAGAAAAGCUUCUAGCGUUAAUUAUACUCUACCCGUACCGCAAACCGACACAGGUAGUCGAGGCGAGUAGCCUCAGGUGAGCGAGAGAACUCUCGUUAAGGAACUCGGCAAAAUGGCCCCGUAACUUCGGGAGAAGGGGCGCUGACUGAUGGUCAGCCGCAGUGAAUAGGCCCAAGCAACUGUUUAUCAAAAACACAGCUCUCUGCUAAAUCGUAAGAUGAUGUAUAGGGGGUGACGCCUGCCCGGUGCUGGAAGGUUAAGAGGAGUGCUUAGCGUAAGCGAAGGCAUGAAUUGAAGCCCCAGUAAACGGCGGCCGUAACUAUAACGGUCCUAAGGUAGCGAAAUUCCUUGUCGGGUAAGUUCCGACCCGCACGAAAGGCGUAAUGAUUUGGGCACUGUCUCAACGAGAGACUCGGUGAAAUUUUAGUACCUGUGAAGAUGCAGGUUACCCGCGACAGGACGGAAAGACCCCAUGGAGCUUUACUGCAGUUUGAUAUUGAGUAUCUGUACCACAUGUACAGGAUAGGUAGGAGCCUAUGACCUCGGGACGCCAGUUUCGAGUGAGGCGUUGUUGGGAUACUACCCUUGUGUUAUGGCUACUCUAACCCAGAUAGGUUAUCCCUAUCGGAGACAGUGUCUGACGGGCAGUUUGACUGGGGCGGUCGCCUCCUAAAAGGUAACGGAGGCGCCCAAAGGUUCCCUCAGAAUGGUUGGAAAUCAUUCGCAGAGUGUAAAGGUAUAAGGGAGCUUGACUGCGAGAGCUACAACUCGAGCAGGGACGAAAGUCGGGCUUAGUGAUCCGGUGGUUCCGUAUGGAAGGGCCAUCGCUCAACGGAUAAAAGCUACCCUGGGGAUAACAGGCUUAUCUCCCCCAAGAGUUCACAUCGACGGGGAGGUUUGGCACCUCGAUGUCGGCUCGUCGCAUCCUGGGGCUGUAGUCGGUCCCAAGGGUUGGGCUGUUCGCCCAUUAAAGCGGCACGCGAGCUGGGUUCAGAACGUCGUGAGACAGUUCGGUCCCUAUCCGUCGCGGGCGUAGGAAAUUUGAGAGGAUCUGCUCCUAGUACGAGAGGACCAGAGUGGACUUACCGCUGGUGUACCAGUUGUUCUGCCAAGAGCAUCGCUGGGUAGCUAUGUAGGGAAGGGAUAAACGCUGAAAGCAUCUAAGUGUGAAGCCCACCUCAAGAUGAGAUUUCCCAUGAUUUUAUAUCAGUAAGAGCCCUGAGAGAUGAUCAGGUUGAUAGGUUAGAAGUGGAAGUGUGGUGACACAUGUAGCGGACUAAUACUAAUAGCUCGAGGACUUAUCCAA
RNAcentral lists this ribosomal RNA (2898 nucleotides) under Streptococcus thermophilus. RNAcentral's name for it is "ribosomal RNA 23s ribosomal RNA". It matches the Rfam family "Bacterial large subunit ribosomal RNA". The record is from RNAcentral. Lineage: Bacteria; Bacillati; Bacillota; Bacilli; Lactobacillales; Streptococcaceae.